Molecule: long non-coding RNA, 1361 nt
Organism: Amborella trichopoda
Lineage: Eukaryota; Viridiplantae; Streptophyta; Magnoliopsida; Amborellales; Amborellaceae
Source: RefSeq, a predicted model, not a curated record
CUUCUGGUUUAGAACUUAGCCUUUAACUAUAACCGCUGUUUCAAUACAAAUUUGUGAUGUGCCCCCGGCCGCCUCAUGGCUGCGAUUUUACCUACUCGACGCUUCUUCUCGGAAGGGCACACAUUGGGGAUUCGCGUUGAAUCCAUGGGCUUUCAAUGCGAAGGAGCGUGUUCUUAUUACUAUUUCUGCAAAUUCAGGUGCUGAAUCUGUUUUUGCCAUACAUAUUGUUAGCGCAGUGAAGAUAUUUUAUGAGGAAACCCUCCCUUCUUUUCAUGGCCAUGACACUGCAGCAUAUGUUGCUGAAAAAGAAGGGUUGCUAAUUUAUAAGCUGACAGAGCAUAAAGGACAAAUUUGCGAGGGAUACAAUUUGACGUUACCAAAAGCAGACAACCCUUUAUUCUACUGCUGCCUGGUGGAUUGGCAGUGCAAAGUGAAUUAUAUGUUUCAGGUUUUGUUCUAUAUUUGUUGUGGCUUCUUGGUAACAAAUUUGCGAGGGAUACAAUGUGACGUUACCAAAAGCUGACAACCCUUUACUCUACCGCUGCCUGGUGGAUUGGCAUUGAUACUAUCCAUGUUUUACCGGGAUACCAUGUCUUGGGGAGUCAUUCGAGACUAUGUUGCUCCUCUGGUAGACAUGAUUUGAAAUUUAGACCAUACCAGCAUGAGUUUCCCAAAAAAUAGUUGUUGGAUCGCGUUCAACCUAGUUAUGUCUUAUGAAAUAUAUAAGCCCUAGCAAACCAAGUGUGAACUCUACUAACAAGAAGCUGUCUUCCAUGUGUGUCAAUAAUUGCCACUUUGAGCUCCUUUGGCGACCAAUGCUUAACAAAAGUCUCAAACAUUGGUAGCUGCUUGUAUCUCCCUAGAUUCCAUGUGAGGGGUAAGUAAGGAGGAGAUGAUCCAUGCCACCUUGUCAUCUUGGCAAAAUAGUUUGCUAAAUAGUUGAGUCCAAACUGCUUUUUGCUCAAGCAAGUUUGGUGCGUUGUAGUUGGUGACCUAAUUCCAGAUCAGGAUGCCUCCAUUAUUGGUUUAAUAAUGGUUAUCUUUAGACGUUAUUAUUGACAUCAAAAUAUAAAAUACAAAGCUACUCCCAGGUCUAGUCUCUCUCUCUCUCUUUUAAUUUGCUGAUGGUUCUUCUACAUAAGGGUCGACCAUUGGGCCCUUAUGCAGAAAUAAUUCAGUCAAAAGAGCUUGAAACCUAAAAUUUUUCAAGAAUUUAGAAUCGGAUGUAGUAUUGGCAUUAGAUUUAAUGCUAACCGAUCUAUAUCUAGGAAAAUCAUUGUUUUUUCAAGAGACAUAAGAUAUUGAAUUACUUUGGGAAUACUUGUAUACUCAUGUUUGCUAUUGAAAGUUCAAUUAGAUUA